UACGGGAGGCAGCAGUGGGGAAUAUUGCACAAUGGGCGCAAGCCUGAUGCAGCCAUGCCGCGUGUAUGAAGAAGGCCUUCGGGUUGUAAAGUACUUUCAGUCGUGAGGAAGGUGUUAAGGUUAAUAACCUUAGCAAUUGACGUUAGCGACAGAAGAAGCACCGGCUAACUCCGUGCCAGCAGCCGCGGUAAUACGGAGGGUGCGAGCGUUAAUCGGAAUUACUGGGCGUAAAGGGCACGCAGGCGGUUAAUUAAGUUGGAUGUGAAAUCCCCGGGCUUAACCUGGGAAUGGCAUUCAAGACUGGUUAGCUAGAGUCUUGUAGAGGGGGUUAGAAUUCCAUGUGUAGCGGUGAAAUGCGUAGAGAUGUGGAGGAAUACCGGCGGCGAAGGCGGCCCCUGGACAAAGACUGACGCUCAUGUGCGAAAGCUGGGGAGCAAAC
Molecule: ribosomal RNA, 439 nt
Filed under: uncultured bacterium
Lineage: Bacteria
Description: bacterial SSU rRNA
Rfam family: Bacterial small subunit ribosomal RNA
Source: RNAcentral